AUGGUGGGCUGGAUGGUGGGCUGGAUGGUGGGCUGGCUGGAGGGCUGGAUGGUGGGCUGGCUGGUGGGCUGGAUGUUGGGCUGGAUGGUGGUCUGGCUGGAGGGUGGAUGGUGGGCUGAAUGGAGGGCUGGAUGGAGGGCUGGAUGGUGGGUUGGAUGGAGGGCUGGAUGGAGGGCUGGAUGGAGGGCUGGAUGGCUGGAUGGUGGGCUGGAUGGUGGGCUGGCUGGCUGGAUGGAGGGCUUGAUGGUGGGAUGGAUGGUGGGCUGGCUGGCUGGCUGGAUGGUGGGCUGGAUGGUGGGCUGGCUGGUGGGCUGGAUGGAGGGCUGGAUGGAGGGCUGGAUGGUGGGCUGGAUGGUGGGCUGGAUGGCUGGUGGGCUGGCUGGUGGGCUGGCUGGUGGGCUGGCUGGUGGGCUGGCUGGCUGGAUGGAUGGUGGGCUGGCUGGAUGGAGGGCUGGCUGGAUGGUGGGCUGGAUGGUGGGCUGGCUGGUGGGCUGGAUGGUGAGCUGGCUGGAUGGUGGGCUUGAUGGUGGGAUGGAUGGUGGGCUGGCUGGCUGGCUGGUGGGCUGGAUGGAGGGCUGGAUGGCUGGAUGGUGGGCUGGAUGGCUGGAUGGUGGGCUGGAUGGUGGGCUGGCUGGCUGGAUGGAUGGUGGGCUGGCUGGAUGGAGGGCUGGCUGGAUGGUGGGCUGGAUGGUGGGCUGGCUGGUGGGCUGGAUGGUGGGCUGGCUGGAUGGUGGGCUGGCUGGAUGGUGGGCUGGCUGGAUGGUGGGCUGGCUGGCUGGAUGGAUGGAGGGCUGGAUGGUGGGCUGGAUGGUGGGAUGGCUGGAUGGUGGGCUGGCUGGCUGGAUGGAGGGCUGGAUGGUGGGCUGGAUGGUGGGAUGGCUGGAUGGUGGGCUGGCUGGAUGGUGGGCUGGCUGGCUGGAUGGUGGGCUGGAUGGUGGGCUGGAUGGUGAGCUGGCUGGUGGGCUGGCUGGUUGGAUGGUGGGCUGGCUGGAUGGUGGGCUGGAUGGUGGGCUGGCUGGAUGGUGGGCUGGCUGGUGGGCUGGCUGGAUGGUGGGCUGGCUGGUGGGCUGGAUGGUGGGCUGGCUGGAUGGUGGGCUGGCUGGAUGGUGGGCUGGCUGGCUGGAUGGAUGGAGGGCUGGAUGGAGGGCUGGAGGGCUGGAUGGAGGGCUGGAUGGUGGGCUGGAUGGUGGGAUGGCUGGAUGGUGGGCUGGCUGGCUGGAUGUUGGGCUGGAUGGUGAGCUGGCUGGUGGGCUGGCUGGUUGA
RNAcentral lists this long non-coding RNA (1263 nucleotides) under Oncorhynchus mykiss (rainbow trout). RNAcentral's name for it is "lncRNA (ENSOMYG00000063173.1)". The record is from RNAcentral. Lineage: Eukaryota; Metazoa; Chordata; Actinopteri; Salmoniformes; Salmonidae.